AUUGAACGCUGGCGGAAUGCUUUACACAUGCAAGUCGAACGGCAGCACGGGGCAACCUGGUGGCGAGUGGCGAACGGGUGAGUAAUACAUCGGAACGUGCCCAAUCGUGGGGGAUAACGUAGCGAAAGUUACGCUAAUACCGCAUACGAUCUACGGAUGAAAGCGGGGGAUCGCAAGACCUCGCGCGAGUGGAGCGGCCGAUGUCAGAUUAGGUAGUUGGUGGGGUAAAGGCUCACCAAGCCAACGAUCUGUAGCUGGUCUGAGAGGACGACCAGCCACACUGGAACUGAGACACGGUCCAGACUCCUACGGGAGGCAGCAGUGGGGAAUUUUGGACAAUGGGCGCAAGCCUGAUCCAGCCAUUCCGCGUGCAGGAUGAAGGCCUUCGGGUUGUAAACUGCUUUUGUACGGAACGAAACGGCGAGCUCUAAUACAGUUUGCUAAAUGACGGUACCGUAAGAAUAAGCACCGGCUAACUACGUG
This 483-nucleotide ribosomal RNA is filed under the name uncultured bacterium. RNAcentral's name for it is "bacterial SSU rRNA". It matches the Rfam family "Bacterial small subunit ribosomal RNA", at positions 30 to 507 of the family's 1533-position model. The record is from RNAcentral.